GCGGGUGUAGCUCAAUGGUAGAGUUCUGGCCUUCCAAGCCAGCUGUGAGGGUUCGAUCCCCUUCACCCGAA
Molecule: transfer RNA, 71 nt
Filed under: Clostridioides difficile CD68
Lineage: Bacteria; Bacillati; Bacillota; Clostridia; Peptostreptococcales; Peptostreptococcaceae
Description: tRNA-Gly
Rfam family: tRNA
About the family: Transfer RNA (tRNA) molecules are approximately 80 nucleotides in length. Their secondary structure includes four short double-helical elements and three loops (D, anti-codon, and T loops).
Source: RNAcentral